Vicia villosa (hairy vetch) is the source of this 1660-nucleotide RNA transcript. RefSeq lists it as uncharacterized. The transcript is spliced from 5 exons. NCBI's taxonomy places the organism in Eukaryota, Viridiplantae, Streptophyta, Magnoliopsida, Fabales, Fabaceae. The record is from RefSeq and is a predicted model, not a curated record.
AAAACAUUCCCUUAUGUUUCCAAAAACAUUUCCCUUCCUUAAUCUUCCUUAACCAGAGCGGGUUGUAUAAGCACAAACCCUAAUUCCUUUUCUCUCUUCCGCCUCCACGAUCUCUCUUCUCCCUCGUCAUCCCCGUCUCUCCCGUUCGCAAAGGUAACGCCGCCGUCGGUGUUUGCGGGUACCGAUAACGUUGUUCUCGGCGUCGAGAAGAAAUCCACCGCCAAACUCCAAGACUCUAGAUCCUUACAAUUCAUACUCUACAAAUCCAAAUCCUAAAGACUCAAGCGUUUUGCAGUACAGAUCCAUCCAAAUUCUACUUUACAUGGAAUCCAGAAAUGUGACAUCCUUUUGAGUUCAUAAUCGGUUCAGCUCAGUUUGUGUUUGGUUCAUGUGUAGAAAAUUUAUCUUUAAAUAUGCAGAAAAUACAACUUUUAGUCUUGUCUGCAAGAUGUUCGAUAGAAUGCUUCAGCUAAUUUUGUCGCUUCUUUUUGCUUCAAUUAUUUCACUUAAUGAUGUUGAAUUGUUGUUGUUAUUGUUGAUAAUUGUUGUUGUUGCAGGUUGUGGUUUAUGAAUCGUUGUCGAUUUGUUGAUGUUACCACCGUAAAGCAACUUGCGUGCCAAGUGUUCGGUAAAUUGCCGCAACCAAAUUACUUUCCUCCUUUAGCUUCUGUUUUGAUGUGAAUUAUAUGUUGGUUGCUUAUCUUGCAUGUGAUGUCGGUUCAAUGGUGGCGCUUGAGUUCUUUUAUUGGGCAAUUGGGUAUCCGAAGUUUCGAUAUUUUAUUAGAUGUAUGUGUUGGGUAAAAUUGUAUGUUUGUUUAUCAGUUAAUGUUUUUAAGUAGUUUAUUUGUAAUUGACUUGUGUUAUAUGUCAAUUAUGUUAAUUUGGUUUUGAAAUUGAGAACUAUAGUUUUCAAAAUAUAACUUAUGAGUAUAAGUUUGCUGUUUCGCUUUAUAUGAAAACUACUAUUGCAAUAAGAAUUAAAUGUAACUGUGCUUUAUGAUGCUAUAUACCUUCUCAAUUUCCUUCAGGAUGAUGAAUUGAAAUGCACUUUCUAAAUUUUGUCUUCAAACAACAAUUUUUAAAAUGUAAAUUUACAAUGGUUCUCUUGUGCGUGUGUGUUUUUCCAGUGAGGUGUGCUUUGAAGAUUUCCUGUGGUAAGUACUUCUAGUGAACUUGUCCCUGGUAUUGACUUUUGCAAUCAUGGAAAGAUGUUGCUUGAAGCUCUAACAUUUCACUUCACUAUGUGCUUUUAAAAUAAUUUCCUUGUUAAUCUUUUUCAUUGAUUGGGAUCUGAUUUUUACAUGACCAAUCAGAUUUGAAGUCAAUAGCAACAUGGGAAGUUGAUGGAAUUGGCUUAGCAACAGGAGUUCUUGUCUCCAUUUGUAUGAGAUCUGUGCUGCAAAUCAUUGGAAGCCUCCUGUGUUUGAAUGUUGUAAAGAGGAAGGACCAUGUCAUUGCAGAAUGACUUUGAAGCUCGCCACACCUACAUGAUACUUGCUAACUAAAAGCCUUGUGUGAAGUGCAAGUGACAUUUCGCAGCAAUUAUACGUAUUUCUCAAUAAUUUUUGUCGCUGCGAAAAUUUAAUUUUCUUGUAGUGUGUUGUAAAAAAAUAAUUAUUUGUAAUGAUUUUGAUUGAUCACUCAUUUGAGCAGCAACCCU